GCUGGAAUAUUGCUAAAAGCGGUGUAAAACCAAACUCAGUCAGUCAUUCUUCUUAUUUCAACCUUCUGGAUGCAGAUUUGGGGUGCCUAGAACUCAAAACCAAACAGGCCUAUGCAUAAUAUUCAAGUCAGUAUUUUCUAUUGAGCAAGUCAUGACAUCGUAAGUCGUUAACUCCUGUUUGAGUUAAAUAAACCACUGUUUAAAACAGUUAUAUACUUUUACUCAUGUUGUUUUUUAAUUAUUGGUAUUACUAGUUAUUACACCUUUUUAAGUGAUAGUGCAAUUGUCAUACAUCCAUGGAUGUCUUGUUACAUUGACUAAAUGAUUUAUGUUUCUGUUAAGACCAGGUUCAUUCCACUUGACUUGUGAUGCAUGUAUUUUCUUAAAGAAGACGACAUAAUU
Molecule: long non-coding RNA, 402 nt
Organism: Haliotis rubra (blacklip abalone)
Lineage: Eukaryota; Metazoa; Mollusca; Gastropoda; Lepetellida; Haliotidae
Exons: 2
Source: RefSeq, a predicted model, not a curated record